UACGGAGGAUGCGAGCGUUAUCCGGAUUUAUUGGGUUUAAAGGGUGCGCAGGCGGCGUGUCAAGUCAGCGGUAAAAUGUCGGGGCUCAACCCCGGCCGGCCGUUGAAACUGGCGUGCUCGAGUUGGAGAGAAGUAUGCGGAAUUCGUGGUGUAGCGGUGAAAUGCAUAGAUAUCGCGAAGAACCCCGAUUGCGAAGGCAGCAUACCGGCUCCACACUGACGCUGAGGCACGAAAGCGUGGGUAUCGAACAGG
RNAcentral lists this ribosomal RNA (252 nucleotides) under uncultured bacterium. RNAcentral's name for it is "partial 16S ribosomal RNA". It matches the Rfam family "Bacterial small subunit ribosomal RNA", at positions 524 to 776 of the family's 1533-position model. The record is from RNAcentral.